This 446-nucleotide ribosomal RNA is filed under the name uncultured bacterium. RNAcentral describes it as "partial 16S ribosomal RNA". It matches the Rfam family "Bacterial small subunit ribosomal RNA", at positions 338 to 795 of the family's 1533-position model. The record is from RNAcentral.
CCUACGGGAGGCAGCAGUCGAGAAUCAUUCACAAUGGGGGAAACCCUGAUGGAGCGACGCCGCGUGGGGGAAUGAAGGUCUGCGGAUUGUAAACCCCUGUCAUGAGGGAGCAAAUUCAAAAGAUAGUACCACAAGAGGAAGAGACGGCUAACUCUGUGCCAGCAGCCGCGGUAAUACAGAGGUCUCAAGCGUUGUGCGGAAUCACUGGGCGUAAAGUGUGCGUAGGCUGUUUCGUAAGGCGUGUGUGAAAGGCCCGGGCUCAACCCGCGGACGGCACAUGAUACUGCGAGACUAGAGUAAUGGAGGGGGAACCGGAAUUCUCGGUGUAGCCGUGAAAUGCGUAGAUAUCGAGAGGAACACUCGUGGCGAAGGCGGGUUCCUGGACAUUAACUGACGCUGAGGCACGAAGGCCAGGGGAGCGAAAAGGAUUAGAUACCCUAGUAGUC